RNAcentral lists this ribosomal RNA (647 nucleotides) under Akashiwo sanguinea. Its description in RNAcentral is "partial 24S large subunit ribosomal RNA". It matches the Rfam family "Eukaryotic large subunit ribosomal RNA", at positions 23 to 671 of the family's 3401-position model. The record is from RNAcentral. Lineage: Eukaryota; Dinophyceae; Gymnodiniales; Gymnodiniaceae.
ACCCGCUGAAUUUAAGCAUAUAAGUAAGCGGAGGAAAAGAAACUAAAUAGGAUUCUCUUAGUAAUGGCGAAUGAACUGGGAUGAGCUCACCAUGGGAAUCGGGGUCUUCGACCUUGAAUUGUAGUCUUGAGACGCACCGCCAACAGAGGCGCAGGUGUAAGCCUCUUGGAAGAGAGCAUCGCGGAGGGUGAGAGUCCCGUCUGUCACCUGCAGUCCCCUGUGUACGGCAUGCGUUCUGAGAGUCACGUUCCUCGGGAUUGGAGCGCAAAUUGGGUGGUAAGUUUCACCUUAAGCUAAAUAUUGGUCCAGAGACCGAUAGCAAACAAGUACCAUGAGGGAAAGGUGAAAAGGACUUUGAAAAGAGAGUUAAAAGUGCUUGAAAUUGCUGAAAGGAAGCGAAAUGGAACCAGUUCUGCUGGGCGAGAUUGUCGCAUGCCAAGGCCCUGUGCCGGCCGCAUGCGGUGCUUCUUGCCUUGUGUGUCAGCUGCGGUCCGAAGUUGGGGAAAACUCUGGGGACAUGGAUGCCAACCUCCGGGGGGGUGAAUGUGCCUGGCAAGACCCGUCCUUGGACUGUGAGCAGUGCUUCAGCAUGUUUGCGGUGCUGACGAAAUGCUUCUAUUCGACCCGUCUUGAAACACGGACCAAGG